UACGGAGGGGGCUAGCGUUGUUCGGAAUUACUGGGCGUAAAGCGCGCGUAGGCGGGCUAUUAAGUCAGAGGUGAAAUCCCACGGCUCAACCGCGGAACUGCCUUUGAUACUGGUAGCCUUGAGUUCGAGAGAGGUGAGUGGAAUUCCGAGUGUAGAGGUGAAAUUCGUAGAUAUUCGGAGGAACACCAGUGGCGAAGGCGGCUCACUGGCUCGAUACUGACGCUGAGGUGCGAAAGUGUGGGGAGCAAACAGG
This 253-nucleotide unclassified non-coding RNA is filed under the name uncultured Paracoccaceae bacterium. RNAcentral describes it as "uncultured Rhodobacteraceae bacterium contains 16S-23S intergenic spacer region". It matches the Rfam family "Bacterial small subunit ribosomal RNA", at positions 524 to 776 of the family's 1533-position model. The record is from RNAcentral. Lineage: Bacteria; Pseudomonadati; Pseudomonadota; Alphaproteobacteria; Rhodobacterales; Paracoccaceae.